UGGCUCAGGGUGAACGCUGGCGGCGUGCUUGACACAUGCAAGUCGAACGGUAUGUGGCAACACAUAGAGUGGCGAACGGGUGAGUAACACGUGGGAACGUACCCUACGCAGGGGGAUAACUGACCGAAAGGACAGCUAAUACCGCAUAAGACCGAAAGGUGAAAGGUGCAAAUGCAUCGGCGAAGGAGCGGCCCGCGGACCAUCAGCUAGUUGGUGGGGUAAGAGCCUACCAAGGCGACGACGGUUAGCCGGCGUGAGAGCGUGGCCGGCCACAAGGACACUGAGAUACGGGUCCUACUCCUACGGGAGGCAGCAGUGCGGAAUUUUAGAUAAUGGAGGCAACUCUGAUCUAGCGACGCCGCGUGCAGGAAGAAGGUCUUCGGAUUGUAAACUGCUGUGGUAAGGGAAAAAUGUCAUGUAGAGUGGAAAGCUACAUGGAGGGAUGGUACCUUACUAGAAAGCCCCGGCUAACUACGUGCCAGCAGCCGCGGUAAUACGUAGGGGGCGAGCGUUACCCGGAAUCACUGGGCGUAAAGGGAGCGUANGUGGCCUGACAUGUCAGCUGUGAAAACCCGGAGCUCAACUCCGGACUUGCAGUUGAAACUGCCAGGCUUGAGGACGGUAGAGGAAGACGGAACUGCCAGUGUANGGGUAAAAUCCUUNAGAUAUUGGCAGGAACGCCGGUGACNAAAGUGGUUUUCUGGGCCGGUUCUGANNUGA
RNAcentral lists this ribosomal RNA (720 nucleotides) under uncultured bacterium. RNAcentral describes it as "bacterial SSU rRNA". It matches the Rfam family "Bacterial small subunit ribosomal RNA", at positions 20 to 748 of the family's 1533-position model. The record is from RNAcentral.